UGUGUGUCUCUGUAUGUGUCAUUCAGUGAACAGGCAGUGAAGCAGCUUCAGAAGAACAGGAAGCACAUGCAGCAGAAGUUCAGUGUGAACGAGGACCGGAGAGCAGAGGCUAAGGAGGAGCUGUCCCAGAUGGCUACGCUGCACCCCAAUGCCAGGGUCAACUUGGAGGAGCUGGAGCAGAAGACCUUCAUGGUGGAGCAGAGGAUGCGAGUAUGUGUGAGAAGAGCCAUGCACUUAGCUAGACAUCCAUGCACUCUAACCUGUAGUAAAUCCAUCCUAGAUAUAGAGGUGGCAUAUCCUUAUUGACACGUCUAAUGUUUAGAUUCAGCGCUUUGACCAUUAGAUAUUGCCGAUCACAUAAUCUGCACUAGUUGUCAGUGAAAUAAGCACAUACUUUUAGAGAUUCAUCCAUGCAUGGAGACUCACUAACAAGUUGGGUUUGUGAAAGGAAAGGAGCACUUGAAGAUAGACGUUCAGAUAGAUCCAUGUACAAUGAUGGAAUGGGCUUCUUUACUAGUGUUACUGAUGCAACACAUCAGUAUCUCCUCAGAAAGUGACUGAGAAUCCUAAGAAAGACGAGCGAGAUGAAAGCCCUGGCCAUUCUGAAGGAUAAAAGAACAACUAUUGAAGCAGAAUUACACCAGGAGCAAACCAACACAGGAAACGCCAGAUGGGAACUUCAUAAGGAAUUUGAGAAAGUGUGAAGUUUAAGGGAGCAACUCAGUGAUUUUCCUACGGAACACAACAACACUUCAGUUUGUCUGUAAAAGGAACGGAGGCUAAAACUUGCCCAUCUAAAUACAGUCAAGGAAUUACACCAAGCUGUUACCGACGGGUGUAACCAUGCCUUGAGUAGGAUCGCAGACCUCCGUGCUAAGUCCAAAGAGUACAGAACAGGCCCUUACAUGGUGGAGGAAACAGCAGCCGCUAUGCCAGAUGUCAUUGAAGAACUACAGUUCGUCUUUGAUGCCGUAGAGUUUCAAAACCAAACAGCUAUGUUGAUCAUGAACACCUUGGAACGUGAUAUCACCAACUGUCAACAACGGAUGGAGCCAACAGUGGAAACUCAUACUACUCUGUUCACAACCAGACAGGAGAAAAUGGAGGAAACCAAGCUUUCUUUGUUGCAGAAGAGGAUGCACAGAGCUGUGGUGAAAUACUUCAGACAACGCAGCCUCUACAGCCUGGCUGAACUGGCCCGCUUCCAGAACCUCUCUAACGAGAACAACCAGAAAAUAAAAACCAUCCAGGGUUGCAUGGAGAAGUGGAGAUCUUCAAUUACUGGAUAAUGGGUGGCUAAUAUGUGGUGGGACGUGAGAGGAGGUCAAAGCGGACAGAAGGAGAGUGAUGAAUCUCUAUCAAAUGUCCUGUCCUGUAGCACCCUCACCGACCGUCAUACUGUAGCAGGAGGAGUUGUCAGAAGCAAUCCAGCGCAUCUCUGCUUUCCUGCAGUCAGUGGCAGAUGACUCAACUAGAGUAACAGUGAUCAUGCUGCGACAAUAGAGACAGCAGCAGAGAACAAACAAGCGGGUCUGGAUGCCAUUGGAUUGAACAAGAAGAAGAUUCUUACAGUUCAGAUAACAGUGUAAUUGGACAUUCACCUGGUCCCAGACAACUUACUUACCCCAGCACGCUUCACUAAUUCACUAUGCUCCCUCUCUCUCUCUUACCAGCAGCAGAUCCAUAACAAUGAAACAGGUGACUUUCAUGCUGCUGUCAGGACUGAUCUAAUUUUAGCUGGGUGAAUGAUUGCAAUUGGCUUUGCCUCAUCAGAUAAUUAAUCUAUGUCACCAUUAAUUGGAAAAGAGAAUAAUUACAGGCAGUGUUGACAGAAACUCUACGCUUCUCCAGAUUUCGAGAUCUAAUUACGACUACUAAAACCCACCGUGACCUUAACUAGCACUUAGUACAUCACCUCGACCACCCUGACCAAUGCCGAAGCAAAAAAACUUCCUCUCAGUAGACAUUAAGCCCUGUUUUUGUUGUUUCAUUUUUUUCUCCCUCUCCCUUUUUCUCUCUCCCUCUGUGCUCUCCUAGAGAGCUGUCUCCCUCAAUCACUUUUCAAUGUUCAAUCUUCAUUUUGUGGAAGUUUAGCAUUUUCAAUGAGCUGGAUAUGAAUGAUUAAUGAAUAAAUUUAAAUGCUUCAUUUUGUCCAUGGAUCAUUAGUUAAGUCCUUUGUGUGAAGGACCUGAAAAAAGGAGUAAAAAUUAUUGAGACAUUAGCCUGGAGCAAUCUAGGGGUAAAUAGUGUGCACAUUAUAAAAUAAUGUUGUGUAGCGGGUGCAGUAUCCUACUGGCUUUCUAACUAACUGAAGAACCCCCAGGUAACGCUGCUUUCAGUUUAGGCUGAAUCCCACAUAGUAUUUAUUUGUAGGAGAAAAUGUAUUAUUUUAUCAAGCAUGUUCCCAUUGC
Oncorhynchus kisutch (coho salmon) is the source of this 2411-nucleotide long non-coding RNA. RefSeq lists it as uncharacterized. NCBI's taxonomy places the organism in Eukaryota, Metazoa, Chordata, Actinopteri, Salmoniformes, Salmonidae. The record is from RefSeq and is a predicted model, not a curated record. The transcript is spliced from 8 exons.